Molecule: long non-coding RNA, 5589 nt
Filed under: Citrus x clementina
Lineage: Eukaryota; Viridiplantae; Streptophyta; Magnoliopsida; Sapindales; Rutaceae
Description: Citrus clementina (C. clementina) long non-coding RNA (CCLE_LNC001190)
Source: RNAcentral
GUCGGGGCGCCAACACCCCCAAGCGGAAAAUUGGCCGAAAAACGGGUGGCCUAUAGCCUUGGUGGGGGGCGUGGGCGAAGUUCGUCCGCCGGACUCGGAAUGGCCCCAGACUUUGUGGGCGGCCUCCGUGUGCCAAAAAUAGGCCACGGGCACAGCCGCGCCCAAAAAUGAGCGCCCGAAGGUCGGGGCGCCAGCACCCCCCAGCAGAAAAAUGGCCCAGAAACGGGUGGGCUAUAGCCUUGGCGGGGGGCGUGGGCGAAGUUCGUCCGCCGGACUCGGAAUGGCCCCAGACUUUGCGGGCGACCUCCGUGUGCCCAAAAUAGGCCACGGGCACAGCCGCGCCCAAAAAGGAGCGCCCGAAGGUCGGGGCGCCAACACCCCCCAGCGGAAAAAUGGCCAAAAAACGGGUGGGCUAUAGCCUAGGAGGGGGGCGUGGGCGAAUCUCGUCCGCCGGACUCGGAAUGGCCCCAGACUUUGCGGGCGGCCUCCGUGUACAAAAAAUAGGCCACGGGCACAGCCGCGCCCAAAAAUGAGCGCCCGAAGGUCGGGGCGCCAACACCCCCCAGCAGAAAAAUGGCCCAGAAACGGGUGGGCUAUAACCUUGGCGGGGGGCGUGGGCGAAGUUCGUCCGCCGGACUCGGAAUGGCCCCAGACUUUGCGGGCGGCCUCCGUGUGCCAAAAAUAGGCCACGGGCACUGCCGCGCCCAAAAAUGAGCGCCCGAAGGUCGGGGCGCCAACACCCCCCAGCGGAAAAAUGGCCUAGAAACGGGUGUGCUAUAGCCUUGGCGGGGGGCGUGGGCGAAGUUCGUCCGCCGGACUCGGAAUGGCCCCAGACUUUGCGGGCGGCCUCCAUGUGCCAAAAAUAGGCCACGGGCACAGCCGCGCCCAAAAAUGAGAGCCUGAAGGUCGGGGCGCCAACACCCCCCAGCGGAAAAUUGGCCGAAAUACGGGUGGCCUAUAGCCUUGCUGGGGGGCGUGGGCGAAGUUCGUCCGCCGGACUCGGAAAGGCCCCAGACUUUGCGGGCGGCCUCCGUGUGCCAAAAAUAGGCCACGGGCACAGCCGCGCCCAAAAAUGAGCGCCCGAAGGUCGGGGCGCCAACACCUCCCAGCGGAAAAUUGGCCGAAAAACGGGUGGCCUAUAGCCUUGGUGGGGGGCGUGGGCGAAGUUCGUCCGCCGGACUCGGAAUGGCCCCAGACUUUGCGGGCGGCCUCCGUGUGCCAAAAAUAGGCCAUGGGCACGGCCGCGCCCAAAAAUGAGCGCCCGAAGGUCGGGGCGCCAACACCCCCCAGCGGAAAAAUGGCCAAAAAACGGGUGGGCUAUAGCCUAGGAGGGGGGCGUGGGCGAAGUUCGUCCGCCGGACUCGGAAUGGCCCCAGACUUUGCGGGCGGCCUCCGUGUGCCAAAAACAGGCCACGGGCACAGCCGCGCCCAAAAAUGAGCGCCCGAAGGUCGGGGCGCCAACACCCCCCAGCGGAAAAAUGGCCAAAAAACGGGUGGGCUAUAGCCUAGGAGGGGGGCGUGGGCGAAUCUCGUCCGCCGGACUCGGAAUGGCCCCAGACUUUGCGGGCGGCCUCCGUGUACAAAAAAUAGGCCACGGGCACAGCCGCGCCCAAAAAUGAGCGCCCGAAGGUCGGGGCGCCAACACCCCCCAGCAUAAAAAUGGCCCAGAAACGGGUGUGCUAUAGCCUUGGCGGGGGGCGUGGGCGAAGUUCGUCCGCCGGACUCGGAAUGGCCCCAGACUUUGCGGGCGGCCUCCGUGUGCCAAAAAUAGGCCACGGGCACUGCCGCGCCCAAAAAUGAGCGCCCGAAGGUCGGGGCGCCAACACCCCCCAGCGGAAAAAUGGCCUAGAAACGGGUGUGCUAUAGCCUUGGCGGGGGGCGUGGGCGAAGUUCGUCCGCCGGACUCGGAAUGGCCCCAGACUUUGCGGGCGGCCUCCAUGUGCCAAAAAUAGGCCACGGGCACAGCCGCGCCGAAAAAUGAGAGCCUGAAGGUCGGGGCGCCAACACCCCCCAGCGGAAAAUUGGCCGAAAUACGGGUGGCCUAUAGCCUUGCUGGGGGGCGUGGGCGAAGUUCGUCCGCCGGACUCGGAAAGGCCCCAGACUUUGCGGGCGGCCUCCGUGUGCCAAAAAUAGGCCACGGGCACAGCCGCGCCCAAAAAUGAGCGCCCGAAGGUCGGGGCGCCAACACCUCCCAGCGGAAAAUUGGCCGAAAAACGGGUGGCCUAUAGCCUUGGUGGGGGGCGUGGGCGAAGUUCGUCCGCCGGACUCGGAAUGGCCCCAGACUUUGCGGGCGGCCUCCGUGCGCCAAAAAUAGGCCACGGGCACAGCCGCGCCCAAAAAUGAGCGCCCGAAGGUCGGGGCGCCAGCACCCCCCAGCGGAAAAAUGGCCCAGAAACGGGUGGGCUAUAGCCUUGGCGGGGGGCGUGGGCGAAGUUCGUCCGCCGGACUCGGAAUGGCCCCAGACUUUGCGGGCGACCUCCGUGUGCCCAAAAUAGGCCACGGGCACAGCCGCGCCCAAAAAUGAGCGCCCGAAGGUCGGGGCGCCAACAGUCGCCAGCGGAAAAAUGGCCAAAAAACGGGUGGGCUAUAGCCUUCGUGGGGGGCGUGGGCGAUGCUCGUCCGCCGGACUCGGAAUGGCCCCAAACUUUGCGGGCUGCCUCCGUGUGCCAAAAAUAGGCCACGGGCACAGCCGCGCCCAAAAAUGAGCAUCCAAAGGUCGCCAACACCCCCCAGCGGAAAAAUGGCCAAAAAACGUGUGGGCUAUAGCCUUGGUGGGGGGCGUGGGCGAAGUUCGUCCGCCGGACUCGGAAUGGCCCCAGACUUUGCGGGCGGCCUCCGUGCGCCAAAAAUAGGCCACGGGCACAGCCGCGCCAAAAAAUGAGCGCCCGAAGGUCGGGGCGCCAACACCCCCCAGCGGAAAAUUGGCCGAAAAACGGGUGGCCUAUAGCCUUGGUGGGGGGCGUGGGCGAAGUUCGUCCGCCGGACUCGGAAUGGCCCCAGACUUUGCGGGCGGCCUCCGUGUGCCAAAAAUAGGCCACGGGCACAGCCGCGCCCAAAAAUGAGUUCCCGAAGGUCGCGGCGCCAACACCCCCCAGCGGAAAAAUGGCCUUGGAACGGGUGUGCUAUAGCCUUGGUGGGGGGCGUGGGCGAAGUUCGUCCGCCGGACUCGGAAUGGCCCCAGACUUUGCGGGCGGCCUCCGUGUGCCAAAAAUAGGCCACGGGCACAGCCGCGCCCAAAAAUGGGCGCCCGAAGGUCGGGGCGCCAGCACCCCCAAGCGGAAAAAUGGCCAAAAAACGGGUGGGCUAUAGCCUUCGUGGGGGGCGUGGGCGAUGCUCGUCCGCCGGACUCGGAAUGGCCCCAGACUUUGCGGGCGGCCUCCUUGCGCCAAAAAUAGGCCACGGGCACAGCCGCGCCCAAAAAUGAGCGCCUGAAGGUCGGGGCGCCAACACCCCCCAGCGGAAAAUUGGCCGAAAAACGGGUGGCGUAUAGCCUUGGUGGGGGGCGUGGGCGAAGUUCGUCCGCCGGACUCGGAAUGGCCCCAGACUUUGCGGGUGACCUCCGUGUGCCAAAAAUAGGCCACGGGCACAGCCGCGCCCAAAAAUGAGCGCCCGAAGGUCGGGGCGCCAACACCCCCCAGCGGAAAAAUGGCCCAGAAACGGGUGUGCUAUAGCCUUGGCGGGGGGCGUGGGCGAAGUUCGUCCGCCGGACUCGGAAUGGCCCCAGACUUUGCGGGCGGCCUCCAUGUUCCAAAAAUAGGCCACGGGCACAGCCGCGCCGAAAAAUGAGCGCCUGAAGGUCGGGGCGCCCACACCCCCCAGCGGAAAAUUGGCCGAAAUACGGGUGGCCUAUAGCCUUGCUGGGGGGCGUGGGCGAAGUUCGUCCGCCGGACUCGGAAAGGCCCCAGACUUUGCGGGCGGCCUCCGUGUGCCAAAAAUAGGCCACAGGCACNNNNNNNNNNNNNNNNNNNNNNNNNNNNNNNNNNNNNNNNNNNNNNNNNNNNNNNNNNNNNNNNNNNNNNNNNNNNNNNNNNNNNNNNNNNNNNNNNNNNNNNNNNNNNNNNNNNNNNNNNNNNNNNNNNNNNNNNNNNNNNNNNNNNNNNNNNNNNNNNNNNNNNNNNNNNNNNNNNNNNNNNNNNNNNNNNNNNNNNNNNNNNNNNNNNNNNNNNNNNNNNNNNNNNNNNNNNNNNNNNNNCCCAGAAACAGGUGGGCUAUAGCUUGGCGGGGGGCGUGGGCGAAGUUUCGUCCGCUGGACUGGGAAUGCCCCAGACUUUGCGGGCGACCUCCUUGUGCCCAAAAUAGGCCACGGGCACAGCCGCGCCCAAAAAUGAGCGCCCGAAGGUCGGGGCGCCAACAGUCGCCAGCGGAAAAAAAGGCCAAAAAAACGGGUGGGCUAUAGCCUUCGUGGGGGGGCGUGGGCGAUGCUUGUCCGCCGGACUCGGAAUGGCCCCAAACUUUGCGGGCUGCCUCCGUGUGCCAAAAAUAGGCCACGGGCACAGCCGCGCCCAAAAAUGAGCAUCCGAAGGUCGCCAACACCCCCCAGCGGAAAAAUGGCCAAAAAACGUGUGGGCUAUAGCCUUGGUGGGGGGCGUGGGCGAAGUUCGUCCGCCGGACUCGGAAUGGCCCCAGACUUUGCGGGCGGCCUCCGUGCGCCAAAAAUAGGCCACGGGCACAGCCGCGCCAAAAAAUGAGCGCCCGAAGGUCGGGGCGCCAACACCCCCCAGCGGAAAAUUGGCCGAAAAACGGGUGGCCUAUAGCCUUGGUGGGGGGCGUGGGCGAAGUUCGUCCGCCGGACUCGGAAUGGCCCCAGACUUUGCGGGCGGCCUCCGUGUGCCAAAAAUAGGCCACGGGCACAGCCGCGCCCAAAAAUGAGUUCCCGAAGGUCGCGGCGCCAACACCCCCCAGCGGAAAAAUGGCCUUGAAACGGGUGUGCUAUAGCCUUGGUGGGGGGCGUGGGCGAAGUUCGUCCGCCGGACUCGGAAUGGCCCCAGACUUUGCGGGCGGCCUCCGUGUGCCAAAAAUAGGCCACGGGCACAGCCGCGCCCAAAAAUGGGCGCCCGAAGGUCGGGGCGCCAGCACCCCCAAGCGGAAAAAUGGCCAAAAAACGGGUGGGCUAUAGCCUUGGCGGGGGGCGUGGGCGAAGUUCGUCCGCCGGACUCGGAAUGGCCCCAGACUUUGCGGGCGGCCUCCGUGCGCCAAAAAUAGGCCACGGGCACAGCCGCGCCCAAAAAUGAGCGCCUGAAGGUCGGGGCGCCAACACCCCCCAGAGGAAAAUUGGCCGAAAAACGGGUGGCGUAUAGCCUUGGUGGGGGGCGUGGGCGAAGUUCGUCCGCCGGACUCGGAAUGGCCCCAGACUUUGCGGGCGACCUCCGUGUGCCAAAAAUAGGCCACGGGCACAGCCGCGCCCAAAAAUGAGCGCCCGAAGGUCGGGGCGCCAACACCCCCCAGCGGAAAAUGGCCAAAAAACGGGUGGGCUAUAGCCUUGGUGGGGGGCGUGGGCGAAGUUCGUCCGCCGGACUCGGAAUGGCCCCAGACUUUGCGGGCGGCCUCCAUUUGCCAAAAAUAGGCCACGGGCACAGCCGCGCCCAAAAA